Molecule: small nuclear RNA, 24 nt
Filed under: Arabidopsis thaliana (thale cress)
Lineage: Eukaryota; Viridiplantae; Streptophyta; Magnoliopsida; Brassicales; Brassicaceae
Description: snRNA_17491
Source: RNAcentral
AACAAGUCUUGAUGAUUCAAAUAA